Molecule: non-coding RNA, 24 nt
Filed under: Arabidopsis thaliana (thale cress)
Lineage: Eukaryota; Viridiplantae; Streptophyta; Magnoliopsida; Brassicales; Brassicaceae
Source: RNAcentral
AACGUUACCAGACCGAUAACGGUA